RNAcentral lists this ribosomal RNA (468 nucleotides) under uncultured bacterium. RNAcentral's name for it is "partial 16S ribosomal RNA". It matches the Rfam family "Bacterial small subunit ribosomal RNA", at positions 28 to 507 of the family's 1533-position model. The record is from RNAcentral.
GACGAACGCUGGCGGCGUGCUUAACACAUGCAAGUCGAACGGAAAGGCCCUGCUUUUGUGGGGUGCUCGAGUGGCGAACGGGUGAGUAACACGUGAGUAACCUGCCCUUGACUUUGGGAUAACUUCAGGAAACUGGGGCUACUACCGGAUAGGAGCUCCUGCUGCAUGGUGGGGGUUGGAAAGUUUCGGCGGUUGGGGAUGGACUCGCGGCUUAUCAGCUUGUUGGUGGGGUAGUGGCUUACCAAGGCUUUGACGGGUAGCCGGCCUGAGAGGGUGACCGGCGACAAUGCUACUACGAGACGGACCAGACGCCUACGGUGGACAGCAGUGGGGAAUAUUACACAGUGGGCGGACGUCUGAUACAGCAACGUCCGGUGCGGAAUGACGGUCUUCGGGUUGUAAACCGCUUUCGCCUAUGACGAAGCGUGAGUGACGGUAACGGGUGAAGAAGCACCGGCUAACUACGUG